GUUAGCAUUUACUUCUCCGGGGCACCCACAUGGCAGACCUCCUACAGGGCACUUAAGGACAAUAAGAGAGUCUCUAAAUAGUUGUUUCCUCCAGAGAUAUAUUCAUGGUUCUUCCUGGUCCUGGUCUCCCUUUCUCCCCCUGGAAGUUGCUGAAUGUAGACCACAGCCUGCACAGGCCAGGGAGCCCAGUGGACACAGCAGAGGCUCAGGCUGGCCAAACUUAUUCUCAAGACAAAGACGAUGAAGUAAAGCAGAUUCUGGAAUCAGCCUGCCUGCCUAUGAGUCACACAAGUUGUGUGACUUUGGAAAACAGAGGCCUAAAGGAGUUAGGCAAGUUACUUAAUCCCUGUAAAAAACAACAUGCCUGUAAAACAUAGAAGGUGGUAUUAAUGCCUUCCAGAGGUCUAUCAGUUCUAAAAUGUGUAAUCUCUGAGUUCAAGACGGCUCAGGAGUCACUGUUGGACUGUUGGAGAAUCCUAAGCCACUCCGGCAAUGAGCACAGAGGCCUAUCUAGGAUUCACCCGUGCUCCCAGCCCUGGUACAUCUGGGUCUAUUAGCAUGGGUCUUUCACCACCUGAGGAUACAUCCAGGCCAGCUGGAGAAGCAGCCUCCUGCUAAAUGGCUCUGCUCUUGCAGCGGGCUACAGCGGGAGAUCCAUAUCAAUGGCUGCCUGCCUGCACUUCUGGAGCCUUCCUCAUCAUGUGAGGAUUAGAAAGGACGGACAUCUAUGGCUUCUGUCAGAGCAGCCGGCAGUGGGUGAACAGACACAGUCUACUGUGUGGAUUCCUGGUAAAGGCAGGGUAUCCAUGGGCCUGGGUUGACUGUCAUAAAAGGGAGCUGAAGAAUAGUCGCCGAGUUGUUGCGGGAAGUCAGGGACCCCAAACGGAGGGACCAGCUGAAACCAUGGCGGAAGAACAUAAAUUGUGAAGAUUUCAUGGACAUUUAUUAGAUCCCCA
RNAcentral lists this long non-coding RNA (956 nucleotides) under Homo sapiens (human). RNAcentral's name for it is "HSALNT0147275". Lineage: Eukaryota; Metazoa; Chordata; Mammalia; Primates; Hominidae. The record is from RNAcentral.